Protopterus annectens (West African lungfish) is the source of this 107-nucleotide small nuclear RNA. The record is from RefSeq and is a predicted model, not a curated record. NCBI's taxonomy places the organism in Eukaryota, Metazoa, Chordata, Ceratodontiformes, Protopteridae.
GUGCUUGUUUUGGCAGCACAUAUACUAAAAUUGGAAUGAUACAGAGAAGAUUAGCAUGGCCCCUCUGUAAGGAUAACACACAAAUUUGUGAAGCACUCCAUAUUUUU